RNAcentral lists this ribosomal RNA (380 nucleotides) under uncultured eukaryote. RNAcentral's name for it is "partial 18S ribosomal RNA". It matches the Rfam family "Eukaryotic small subunit ribosomal RNA", at positions 592 to 976 of the family's 1831-position model. The record is from RNAcentral.
CAAUAGCGUAUAUUAAAGUUGUUGCAGUUAAAAAGCUCGUAGUUGGAUUUGUGGCGUACGGUGGGUUCCGGGCACUUGUUGUCUGAGUAACUUGCUGUUGCCAUCCUUGGGUGGAACCUGUGUGGCAUUAGGUUGUCGUGCAGGGGAUGCCCAUCAUUUACUGUGAAAAAAUUAGAGUGUUCAAAGCAGGCUUAUGCCGUUGAAUAUAUUAGCAUGGAAUAAUGAGAUAGGACUUUUUUGCUAUUUUGUUGGUUUGCGCAAAGAGGUAAUGAUUAAUAGGGACAGUUGGGGGUACUCGUAUUCCAUUGUCAGAGGUGAAAUUCUUGGAUUUUUGGAAGACGAACUACUGCGAAAGCAUUUACCAAGGAUGUUUUCAUUAA